AAAGGCUUAGGUUCAAUAAGACCAAAGGCCUUCAAAGCCUUAAGCAGAUGUUAAACCGUCUAGCCUUUG
Molecule: transfer RNA, 69 nt
Filed under: Echymipera clara (Clara's echymipera)
Lineage: Eukaryota; Metazoa; Chordata; Mammalia; Peramelemorphia; Peroryctidae
Description: tRNA-Trp
Rfam family: tRNA
About the family: Transfer RNA (tRNA) molecules are approximately 80 nucleotides in length.
Source: RNAcentral